RNAcentral lists this ribosomal RNA (423 nucleotides) under uncultured bacterium. RNAcentral describes it as "bacterial SSU rRNA". It matches the Rfam family "Bacterial small subunit ribosomal RNA", at positions 355 to 776 of the family's 1533-position model. The record is from RNAcentral.
UGAGGAAUAUUGGUCAAUGGGCGCGAGCCUGAACCAGCCAAGUCGCGUGAGGGAAGACGGUCCUAUGGAUUGUAAACCUCUUUUGUCGGGGAGCAAAAGACGUCACGUGUGGCGUUCCGAGAGUACCCGAAGAAAAAGCAUCGGCUAACUCCGUGCCAGCAGCCGCGGUAAUACGGAGGAUGCGAGCGUUAUCCGGAUUUAUUGGGUUUAAAGGGUGCGUAGGCGGAACGCCAAGUCAGCGGUAAAAUUUCGGGGCUCAACCCCGUCGUGCCGUUGAAACUGGUGUCCUUGAGUGGGCGAGAAGUAUGCGGAAUGCGUGGUGUAGCGGUGAAAUGCAUAGAUAUCACGCAGAACUCCGAUUGCGAAGGCAGCAUACCGGCGCUCAACUGACGCUCAUGCACGAAAGUGUGGGUAUCGAACAGG